UUAGCUUGCUAACAGGCGUCGAGUGGCGGACGGGUGAGUAACGCGUAGGAAUCUACCAAUAGCGGGGGAUAGCCCGGAGAAAUCCGGAUUAAUACCGCAUAAUCUCUACGGAGUAAAGAGGGCCUCUAUUUAUAAGGCUUUCACUAUUUGAUGAGCCUGCGUAAGACUAGCUUGUUGGUGAGGUAACAGGCUCACCAAGGCGACGAUCUUUAGCUGGUCUGAGAGGAUGAUCAGCCACACUGGGACUGAGACACGGCCCAGACUCC
Molecule: ribosomal RNA, 266 nt
Filed under: uncultured bacterium
Lineage: Bacteria
Description: partial 16S ribosomal RNA
Rfam family: Bacterial small subunit ribosomal RNA
Source: RNAcentral